Molecule: transfer RNA, 82 nt
Organism: Lottia gigantea (owl limpet)
Lineage: Eukaryota; Metazoa; Mollusca; Gastropoda; Lottiidae
Rfam family: tRNA
About the family: Transfer RNA (tRNA) molecules are approximately 80 nucleotides in length.
Source: Rfam
GCUGUGAUGGCCGAGUGGUUAAGGCGUUGGACUCGAAAUCCAAUGGGAUAUUCCCGCGCAGGUUCAAAUCCUGCUCGUAGCG